Molecule: unclassified non-coding RNA, 205 nt
Filed under: Hevea brasiliensis (rubber tree)
Lineage: Eukaryota; Viridiplantae; Streptophyta; Magnoliopsida; Malpighiales; Euphorbiaceae
Source: RNAcentral
UUAUAGCUCAUUAGAUCAAAACUGAAGAGGACAGAAAUAAGGAAAAAUCAUCAAAGAAAAAUCUGCAAUUUUCCAAUUCAUUUCUUUUCCUUUUAUCCUAUUUUAUUCAGUGAACUGUCUUUACCUUAAUUCAAUGAAAAUCAUAUUUUAAACAGGAGUGUGUAUAAACAUGGAAUAUAUUUAAUAAAGAAUUAUCAGCAAUUAC